This 76-nucleotide transfer RNA is filed under the name Methanobrevibacter sp. RNAcentral describes it as "tRNA-Phe". It matches the Rfam family "tRNA". Rfam says of the family: Transfer RNA (tRNA) molecules are approximately 80 nucleotides in length. Their secondary structure includes four short double-helical elements and three loops (D, anti-codon, and T loops). Further hydrogen bonds mediate the characteristic L-shaped molecular structure. tRNAs have two regions of fundamental functional importance: the anti-codon, which is responsible for specific mRNA codon recognition, and the 3' end, to which the tRNAs corresponding amino acid is attached (by aminoacyl-tRNA synthetases). tRNAs cope with the degeneracy of the genetic code in two manners: having more than one tRNA (with a specific anti-codon) for a particular amino acid; and 'wobble' base-pairing, i.e. permitting non-standard base-pairing at the 3rd anti-codon position. Lineage: Archaea; Methanobacteriati; Methanobacteriota; Methanobacteria; Methanobacteriales; Methanobacteriaceae. The record is from RNAcentral.
AGCCACUUAGCUCAGUUGGCAGAGCAAGGGACUGAAAAUCCCUGUGUCUGUGGUUCGAUUCCACAAGUGGCUACCA